RNAcentral lists this long non-coding RNA (242 nucleotides) under Panax ginseng (ginseng). RNAcentral's name for it is "long non-coding RNA (PGIN_LNC010768)". The record is from RNAcentral. Lineage: Eukaryota; Viridiplantae; Streptophyta; Magnoliopsida; Apiales; Araliaceae.
UAAAACUGGAUACUGGAAUAGAGAGGUAGCAAACUUCUCUUCUUCUUUCUCUCUAUAUUUCCCUCUAUAAUAAAUGUGUUAUAGCUUUAGUGAAUUGGUGAGAAAUGAAGGAAGAAUGAGCUUCUAUUUAUAGGAAAAUAUAGUUUCGAUAAUUGCACAUUUUGGGGUUCGAAAUAUUACAGUACAAUACCUCAAACUUUUCUUUUAUUUUUAAUUUAGUCCUGCAAGUAUUAUCAAUCUUG